Molecule: RNA transcript, 2854 nt
Organism: Rhodamnia argentea
Lineage: Eukaryota; Viridiplantae; Streptophyta; Magnoliopsida; Myrtales; Myrtaceae
Gene name: pentatricopeptide repeat-containing protein At3g53170
Exons: 5
Source: RefSeq, a predicted model, not a curated record
UUAACUUUUAUUAAAAUGAGAAUAACGACUCGAGCGAUGCUCUUUAAUUCGUUGGAUGGAUAACGCCGGGAGCUACACCUGAAAAGUUUCCUGCUCUUUCUCGUUAGUACCGUUAUGUUCACUUGAGAAGGAUCAUCCUCCAAUCCGAGCAAUCGCUUGAGCGAAUCUCUCGUGCUUCACACCGUAAUUUAUGGGACCCAAGUCCUAACACCAUCCACCUCCUUCACCGAUCACGCUUCCUCCCCACCAGCGCACAAAAAAUGCGAUCUUUCUCCUUAGACACCACGGGCCUGCGUUUCGCAUCCCAAGUUUCCACAACCCCCGCCACUCGUUCGACGAAAUUCCGAAGUGAGCUUCGCAACACUCACUACCCACCAUUUAUACUUGGUCGGUCAUCUAGACGGAGCUCGUCAUCGGGUAGCGUGGGCCUGCAGAGGAAAACCCAGAAGGAUCUUUCUCGGAUACUGAGGACAGAGUCGGCUAUCAAGGAGAUUGAGAGGAAGGCCAACUCCAAGAAGUACAACAAUUUGUGGCCUAAAGCCGUAUUGGAGGCCCUGGAUGAGGCUAUUAGUGAAAACCGUUACGAGUCUGCUCUUAAGAUAUUCAGCCUUCUUCGUAAGCAGCACUGGUAUGAGCCAAGAUGCCAAACGUAUGCAAAGCUUCUGAUGAUGCUUGGCAAGUGCAGGCAGCCUGAGCAGGCAGGUUUGCUUUUUGAGCUUAUGCUGGCGGAAGGGCUUAAACCUACUGUCGAUGUUUAUACGGCUCUCGUCAGUGCUUAUGGUCAUAGUGGCCGAAUCGACGAGGCAUUAUCUACUCUGGAAGCAAUGAAGUCCGUCUCAGAUUGCAAGCCCAAUGUGUACACAUACACUAUUCUCGUGAAUUGUUGCAUGAAGUUCCAUCAGUUUGAUCUGAUUGAACAAAUACUUUCUGAGAUGUCAUAUCUCGGAAUAAGUUGCAGCACCGUCACAUACAAUACUAUGGUCGAUGGAUAUGGCAAGGCUGAAAUGUUUGAACAGAUGGAGAAGUCAUUGACAGACAUGAUUGACGGUGGUUCCUGUCUUCCUGAUGUUUUCACUCUUAAUUCGGUUGUGGGGGCUUAUGGGAAGAGUGGACAGAUUGAUAAGAUGGAGAAGUGGUAUGAGGAAUUUCAACUCAUGGGUGUGAGGCCUGAUAUUAUUACAUUCAAUACCCUGAUUGGAUCAUAUGGGAAGGCAGGGCUUUAUGAGAAGAUGAGUUCUGUUCUUGAUUAUAUGGAGAAAAGGUUCUUUUCGCCUACAACUGCAACCUACAAUGUAAUCAUUGACAUCUAUGGAAAAGCUGGCGAUGUGGAAAAGAUGGAAGAAUACUUCAAGAAAAUGAAGCAUCAGGGAAUGAAGCCUACCUCUGUCACGUACUGCUCUCUGGUUAGUGCAUACAGUAAAUCUGGACUGAUCAUGAAGGUGGAUUUGAUCUUGAGGCAAGUCGAUAAUUCGGAUGUGGUGCUGGAUACUCCUUUCUUCAACUGCAUCAUUAAUGCAUAUGGUCAAGCUGGGGACAUUGAAAAGAUGAGGGAAUUGUUCUUGUCAAUGAAAGAGACAAAAUGCUCACCUGAUACUAUCACUUAUGCCACCAUGAUCCAAACAUACAUUGCCCUAGGCAUGACUGAGGCUGCUGAAGAUUUGGAGAACAACAUAAUAAGAUCCAAGGACCAUCCAGCAAGCUCAUUUUUCGGUCUCUGCUAAGUGCUUUAGAUUAUGACCGGCAUGAAGUUGAUUGGAUGCUAGCAUUGGUGAUUGAUGUGGAAGGGAUCUCAAAUUGAUGGAUGACUAGAAUGUUCAAGAUUGUUGAAGCAUAAAUCGCUGAUUGCUUACUUCUGAGACCUUACCUUAUAUGAUUGUUUUCAGAUUACCUUUGGUGUCUGGAUAUCAAAGCUCACCUCAUCCCCAUCUGGGGCAUCAACCUGGGAAUGUCAGUUGGCUGAUCAAGAUUGCAAGAAAGUUUCAUCUGGAGGAAGGUGCAAAACUGUUACUAAGACAGCUUCGCUAGAUUUUUUGAGGCCUCGACAUGCAACUGGAUUUGUUGGGUACAAUUUGGUAAAGGUACUUCUUAUGGAUAUUCUAUCUUCUUCUUUUUUCCUAUCAUGGCGACCUCAGCAUUGGUUUUCCAUCUUUCAAAAUAACAACACCAAAGAGCUCUCAUGUGUAUGAAGUUUACGAAAAUUCUGGUUCCCCAAAGAAGUGUGACAGAAUAAAUAGUGACUAACAAGAAUGCCAACCUUCCACAAGGGCCAAAGGAUUGUUAUUGAAGACCAUUCUUCUGGUGUUCGGCCAUGAAUGAAGCAGUGUAUUUCCUCCAGAUAUUGAGCUAAGCAUACAAGAUCUUUGCUUUGUCAAUGAAAGUUGCCAUGACCAAAGUUUGGGAAAUAGAGCUGGAAUUCUUGGGUGCCAAAUCAAAUCCCUGGACAGCAUGCACAUAUUUAUCAGGUUCUCCUGACUCAGCUACUGUUGAAUUCCUUCAUUAUAUGGCCAUAUUCUGCUAUUUUGCUUAUUUGCGUUGCUUGUCAUACAUUCAUAUGUGAUAUAACAAUUCACGUUCAUAUCGAUAUCGAUUGUACUUCUGUCAAUCAACAUCUCACCUUUCACUAUGUAUUUGCAUGGCGUCGGUUGACAUUGUGGGAUGAUACCGGCACUGUGGAACUCGUGGACGAAGCAGCUGUUUGUUUCCCAGAGGAGACUUAAGAUGCUCUAUGCAAUUAAUUUCCAGGCUUUUUUUAUAAUUUGGGCGGGGCCUGAAGAAUGAGUUUAGGCCUGGCCUCCUUUACAUGUCGAGGGUCGCUCACCUGCUUUUCAGAUGGAAGUAUGCUGAAGAACGGAGA